GAAACAUCUAGAGAUCUUCAAGUGAUUGUUGAAGAUCAUCCAGUGGCUCUGAUCGUUUUGGGAAGUCUUGCUGUAAUUCUUAUUGUUCUGGUCAUCAUCGCAUAUUACGUUUACAAGAAGAAGAAUCAGCUCAAAUGCACAAAUGUGGAAAAUGCCUCGUCAGGCCCUCAGACAAACAGGAAUGAGAGGAAGGAGCAGGAGCUUCAUUACGGAGAAGUGACGUUCACCGACAGAAAGGUUCAACAGCAGCCGUGUAAAACACAGGAGGAGUGUUUGUACGCUCAGGUGCAGACGCGCUAGUGUGAACACCACCACAAAACCACUUCACUGUCAUGAAGACUCAACACGACAGCUUUUGGCUGCUUAUGAUGAAAUGCUCGGCUUAUUGCACAUUUUCUUUCCUGUGUGGCAACAGAAAAACACAGCGUCUGAUCCAGAACAGAAAUAUAAAAGGAUGAACACUUUCCAAUAAAGCCGCUGAAGGAAAUCAUGACUGCUGUGAACAAUGAAUGACUUGUACUACAUAAGUCAUUGUUUUUUAUAUAAAAUAUCUUUCUGUGACACACGGUACUAUGCAAUAAAAAUACACUGCAUGUACAUGCUGCCUUUUCCUCCACUUUGUCGCCA
RNAcentral lists this long non-coding RNA (627 nucleotides) under Sinocyclocheilus grahami. RNAcentral's name for it is "lncRNA (ENSSGRG00000033069.1)". Lineage: Eukaryota; Metazoa; Chordata; Actinopteri; Cypriniformes; Cyprinidae. The record is from RNAcentral.